ACUGAUGAGGCGAGGAAAAAGAUCCGUUCCAGGUCAAAUGAGCCGUGGCAACUGGAACCAAUUCCUUUUGUAUUUUUCUGCAUGAAGAGAAAGGAAAGAAAGGUGUUGUUUUAUUAUCAUGUGAUAUACCAUACUGGAUAAGUCGUACGCGUAAAGAUGGAAGCAUUGUGAAUGGACUAGUUGCGGAAGUUAUGGUUGCUAAUGAUUCAUGUAUGCUCUUUCUCUAUCUGUCGCUUUCUCUCUCUCCCUCUAUCUCACUUCCAAGAAUGUAGCUAGAUUGCUGUAAUGUAGUUAGGCUAAUGUGGCUUUUAUAUUCUAUUUUUAUAGCAAUAGAUAGAUUUGGGUUAAUGGGUUGUAUUUUACUGAUAACAGGUCCAAAUGGUCAAAUGGGUCUCUAAAAUGCUCAUUUAGAUGCUUAAAACUUUUGUAUAUGUUUUAUUUUUAAUAAGAUGACUGAAACGGAAACAGGCCUAACGGGUCAAAGUAAA
Molecule: long non-coding RNA, 488 nt
Organism: Erigeron canadensis
Lineage: Eukaryota; Viridiplantae; Streptophyta; Magnoliopsida; Asterales; Asteraceae
Exons: 3
Source: RefSeq, a predicted model, not a curated record